CGUGAACGCUGGCGGUAGGCCUAACACAUGCAAGUCGAACGGCAGCACAGUAAGAGCUUGCUCUUACGGGUGGCGAGUGGCGGACGGGUGAGGAAUACAUCGGAAUCUACUUUUUCGUGGGGGAUAACGUAGGGAAACUUACGCUAAUACCGCAUACGACCUACGGGUGAAAGCAGGGGAUCUUCGGACCUUGCGCGAUUGAAUGAGCCGAUGUCGGAUUAGCUAGUUGGCGGGGUAAAGGCCCACCAAGGCGACGAUCCGUAGCUGGUCUGAGAGGAUGAUCAGCCACACUGGAACUGAGACACGGUCCAGACUCCUACGGGAGGCAGCAGUGGGGAAUAUUGGACAAUGGGAGCAAGCCUGAUCCAGCCAUACCGCGUGGGUGAAGAAGGCCUUCGGGUUGUAAAGCCCUUUUGUUGGGAAAGAAAAGCAGCAGGUUAAUACCCCGCUGUUCUGACGGUACCCAAAGAAUAAGCACCGGCUAACUUCGUG
RNAcentral lists this ribosomal RNA (492 nucleotides) under uncultured bacterium. RNAcentral's name for it is "partial 16S ribosomal RNA". It matches the Rfam family "Bacterial small subunit ribosomal RNA", at positions 29 to 507 of the family's 1533-position model. The record is from RNAcentral.